Betta splendens (Siamese fighting fish) is the source of this 1688-nucleotide long non-coding RNA. RefSeq lists it as uncharacterized. The transcript is spliced from 3 exons. The record is from RefSeq and is a predicted model, not a curated record. Lineage: Eukaryota; Metazoa; Chordata; Actinopteri; Anabantiformes; Osphronemidae.
GCAUUUACUCAAAGGUCUCCAAGUAAUUCCCGUCAACGUCGCGUGUAGUUUGUCCAACCCUCUGUGAGCCGUAAACGCACCACGGAGCUAUCAACUUGUGUGACGUCAGCGCACAGCCCCGGAACCAAGUAUAAAACCGCGCAACUCUUGGCUGUUCGAAGACAAAGUGUGGAGCGCGAGAGCCCCGCCUCCCUGAGAGCACGUGCAACAGAUGCUGACUUGGAGCCAGAGAAUCAACAUAAUCUAACAUCAGAGUCAUCACUGAUAGGACACCGGCGCUGUGCACGUUGCUGACCUUCAGCUUUGGGUUUUCCGAGGACGUGCAUGAUCUCAGCGUUCGUAGGGUUCUGGCCUAAAGCCCUGAUGAGGUCACCGCACUGGGCCUUUGACUCCGCGAGGCAACAAACGACAACUGUAAAAACAGCCCCCUUACCCUCGAUUUGCUCCGGGGUGAAUUCCAGCUGAAAAGAGAGGAUGCAAACAAGGAGGUUAGUUGCUGCAUCGUUUCGGGAGGACUAGAGCCUUACAAGUCGAGUAACAUCAGAGGAAUUCUAUUUAAAAACCACAUAAUGAAGGUGUGAGUGCGGCUGCCGUGACUUUGCCCCCACCUUCCUCUCAUCAUUCCAUAAGAUUGUGUUACAGCCUGCAUUGUUUAUCAGUGACCUUGGGUCUAACACCCCCUUAUUAUAGUCAAAUACUACCAGCUACUGGUGGAUUAAGCGUAUUUUUAGAUCUAAUGUGUAGAAAGAAGCUUUGUUGCUGUAGACACCAGGAAGGUCACAGUAUUCACAGCCUAAUGAUUUUCUCCGCUCUAUAGUUACAUCAAGACUUUACCAGCUCCUACUGUACAUUUUUAUAUUUGAUGCGUUGAUCCAAGUCUGAAAAUAAGUGGUUGUUCUCACUACUCAUGGCAAAUGUUGACUAUUUAUAAUCCAUGUACUGUAUGUUUUGGACUGCGAUCAAAUGGCAUCUUCAGUUUCUGUCUCCGAACCGCAGCCUCUGCAUGAAGCUUUGUCAAAUAUUAUCCAAACACUUAUCUGAGCGUGUUUAAAGACGGAUGGCGAUGGAUAUAAUUAUCUGUAUUUUUCUUUCUCCUGGUUUUUCCACCCAUUUUGCCCUCAGAGGAAUGGUGUGGGUGGUCUGCUCAUACUCAGACAUAAUGAAAAUCAUAUUUUGUGGCUUUAACCGUGCUCCAUUGUGACCGAAGGGCUCGUCCAACCCUCGAGAAAACAUUUCUCCGCCGAGAGGAGGCCGAGUCAGCAGAAGAUCUUUCCAUGAUGUCUGGUAUCAGCUACUGUAGUCUGCCUGAGCCCCAGUAAGAAGUCACAGCUCCUUCAACUGCAGUGAUGCAAAAUGUGAUGAAAGGCUGGAAAUAUUAUUCGAUGGAAGACAGAGAGAAAGAUAUGAAUGUAGAGUGCAGGACAGGAUAAUCCUCCUCUGCUUGCACUGCCCAGUUUAGGACACUUGGGGUCUCUGAUGCUCUUUAAACACAGUGUUAGUUGGUUACCACUGCACCGUUUAGUGAAAUCAAAUUUGUAUUAUUUCCUUUUAAUAGACUGUAUUUAAUUAUUAUACAGCUCUACGUUGUCAGUUCAAUCCCCAGGGAGAUUAAUAAUUUGUUGUUAGAAGUUUAACACAACCAGUCUUGAUUGAAAUGCUUUAAAGUCUGCCGCUGCGUGUUCUUUACC